AUACGUAGGGGGCGAGCGUUGUCCGGAUUUAUUGGGUUUAAAGGGAGCGUAGGCGGGAGCUUAAGUCAGCGGUUAAAUGGUGCGGCUCAACCGUGCCCUGCCGUUGAAACUGGGUUUCUUGAGAGUGCAAGAGGCGGAUGGAAUUCAUGGUGUAGCGGUGAAAUGCUUAGAUAUCAUGAAGAACUCCGAUUGCGAAGGCAGUCCGCUGGGGCACGUCGGACGCUGAUGCUCGAAGGUGCGGGAACCAAACAGGAUUAGAUACCCUGGUAGUCCGCACGGUAAACGAUGAUUACCCGCUGUCGGCGGCAGACAGUCGGCGGCCAAGCGAAAGCGAUAAGUAAUCCACCUGGGGAGUACGCCGGCAACGGUGAAACUUAAAGGAAUUGACGGGG
This 392-nucleotide ribosomal RNA is filed under the name uncultured bacterium. Its description in RNAcentral is "partial 16S ribosomal RNA". It matches the Rfam family "Bacterial small subunit ribosomal RNA", at positions 523 to 918 of the family's 1533-position model. The record is from RNAcentral.